CAAAUUAAAGCUUUAAAGUUUUUUAUUUACAUUAAAAAGAAAAUUGUUAGUUCAGUUUAAUUUGA
Molecule: transfer RNA, 65 nt
Filed under: Euaesthetus ruficapillus
Lineage: Eukaryota; Metazoa; Arthropoda; Insecta; Coleoptera; Staphylinidae
Description: tRNA-Val
Source: RNAcentral